GGAGGUAGCGCAGGCGGUUGCGGACUGGUGUUUGCCAGUCUGAGGAAAGUCCGGGCUCCCGAAAGACCAGACCUGCUGGGUAACGCCCAGUGCGGGCGACCGUGAGGAGAGUGCCACAGAAACAUACCGCCGAUGGCCUUUGGUCAAUGACUUGAGGGCACAGGUAAGGGUGCAAGGGUGCGGUAAGAGCGCACCAGCAGCAUCGAGAGGUGCUGGCUAGGUAAACCCCGGUCGGGUGCAAGGUCAAGGGGCAAGGUUGGUCUUUUUCCGGCCCCGUCGUUGAGUACCGCAAGAGGCGUCUGGCAACAGGCGUCCCAGAUAGAUAACCGCCCCCCCGGCAGCGGGGGAACAGAACCCGGCUUAUGUCUACCUCCUUCC
RNAcentral lists this RNase P RNA (378 nucleotides) under filamentous cyanobacterium CCP3. RNAcentral's name for it is "RNase P RNA component class A". It matches the Rfam family "Bacterial RNase P class A". From Rfam's summary of the family: Ribonuclease P (RNase P) is a ubiquitous endoribonuclease, found in archaea, bacteria and eukarya as well as chloroplasts and mitochondria. Lineage: Bacteria; Bacillati; Cyanobacteriota. The record is from RNAcentral.